UCGCCUUCAGUGCAGGCUAAAAUCUCCUGUUCACGAAUUACACAGUACUGUUGAUGUACGUUUUUCUCUUCUCUUCUCUUCUUCAUCUCCAAAUGUGCUUUAGUCCUAACCUAGAGGGACCACCUGUGAGCGAGAGGGUAGUUUAGUCUCCAUGCUUAUUCACUCCUUGGUCUCU
RNAcentral lists this small RNA (175 nucleotides) under Calidris pygmaea (Spoon-billed sandpiper). RNAcentral's name for it is "TUC338 (ENSCPGG00000003416.1)". Lineage: Eukaryota; Metazoa; Chordata; Aves; Charadriiformes; Scolopacidae. The record is from RNAcentral.